Molecule: non-coding RNA, 74 nt
Submitted as: unclassified sequences
Source: Rfam
AGACUUGGUCGUAGAGCAACGACCAACACAAAGGUUGGGUAACGACCCUUUGAUUUAAAGAACGCUCACCAAGA